UCUGCAGUAGUCUCAAGACCCACGAGGAUGCUCUGACUCUCAUCCUUCUACACUGUGUUCACGAUCGCUGUUAAUCUCGCCUCUGUCGUCCAUCUGUCUCACAGGAAAGAGCUUACGGCCGACAAAGGCGGCAUUGAGAUCACGUCUGACCCCGUGGGAACUGAUGGAAAGGUUCACUUCACCGUAGCUGCUCUGAGGGAGUUUUUGUCGUCAGUUUCCAUUGUAACAAGGGCUCGAACAGCGUCCACUUCACCUUCUACACCGCUCGCACCGCAUCCGCUGUUUCACUCUGGAGGAUGAGAGGAAGGUGACGCGGCCUGUCCACGUUCCUACUUUCCUCUGUCCCGAGACGCUCACUCCAAACUUUGCUGUAGCGCUGUGAACUGUGUGAUAACCAUCUUAACUCCUAUUCGUCUAUUCAUUUGGUUGCAGAGAGAGUUACGAAGUUGUGGUUCGAUACACGUUGAUCCACUAUGGACAUUUUCCUGCCACCAUGUACUUUGAGUUCUGCCCGGAUUUGCCCGACUCGGUGCCCUUCUGCAUUGUCAGGGAGAUGGAGGCUGUGGCUCGGACUCCACUGGCUGUGGAGCUGGGGCCUGUGGCUCCUUAUAAAAAACUUCAAGUGUUCACAUCCAGGCCGUGGACACGGUGAUCGUGGAUGGAGUACCACCAGAGAGUUCUGUUGUCCAGCGUCUGAAGACCGCUGUGAAGCUAGGCGACUACAGGUACCCCACUUACCUGAAGGAAAUAGCUAAACAGUGGGUAGAGGACUCUGAUCGCCUUUCUCCGACUGCCAGAGAAAAACUUGCCGCUGUAAAGUGAGAAUAUCACCACGCUUGUGUUUUCCUUCCUUAUUUUGUGGAAGUAAAUUCCAUUAAGCACACAAUGUGUGUGUCCAGGGGUCUUCUCAGCUGCUCUCUGAAGAUGAAGAACUACUCUCAUCGGUUUCACCUCCUGCUGCACCUGGAGGAGAUCCAGAUGGAGGUGGACAUCAGGAAGUAUGACCUCCACAAUCAAACCAUGAAUCAAGACCCAAGCAACAGAAAACUCCUCACGCUCAGUGUAAGGCAACGCUAAAUGAAAUACAGUUUAAUGGGUUUAUGAAUGCCAAAUUCUAACUUUGUCAUGAUGUAUAAAAUUAGUG
RNAcentral lists this long non-coding RNA (1144 nucleotides) under Salarias fasciatus (jewelled blenny). RNAcentral's name for it is "lncRNA (ENSSFAG00005001984.1)". The record is from RNAcentral. Lineage: Eukaryota; Metazoa; Chordata; Actinopteri; Blenniiformes; Blenniidae.